UACAGAGGUCUCAAGCGUUGUUCGGAAUCACUGGGCGUAAAGGGUGCGUAGGCCGCACGGUAAGUCAGAGGUGAAAUCCCGGAGCUCAACUCCGGAAUGGCCUCCGAUACUGCCGUGCUCGAGGACUGGAGAGGAGUCUGGAAUUCACAGUGGAGCAGUGAAAUGCGUGGAUAUUGUGAGGAACACUAGUGGCGAAGGCGAGACUCUGGACAGUUACUGACGCUGAGGCACGAAGGCCAGGGGAGCAAACGGG
RNAcentral lists this ribosomal RNA (253 nucleotides) under uncultured bacterium. RNAcentral's name for it is "partial 16S ribosomal RNA". It matches the Rfam family "Bacterial small subunit ribosomal RNA", at positions 524 to 776 of the family's 1533-position model. The record is from RNAcentral.